RNAcentral lists this ribosomal RNA (477 nucleotides) under uncultured bacterium. RNAcentral's name for it is "SSU rRNA". It matches the Rfam family "Bacterial small subunit ribosomal RNA", at positions 26 to 523 of the family's 1533-position model. The record is from RNAcentral.
AGGACGAACGCUGGCGGCGUGCUUAACACAUGCAAGUCGAACGAUGAAGCCUUUCGGGGUGGAUUAGUGGCGAACGGGUGAGUAACACGUGGGCAACCUGCCCUCCACUCUGGGAUAACUCCGGGAAACCGGGGCUAAUACUGGAUACGACCUGGGAUCGCAUGGUCCUGGGUGGAAAGUUUUUCGGUGGAGGAUGGGCCCGCGGCCUAUCAGCUUGUUGGUGGGGUGAUGGCCUACCAAGGCGGUGACGGGUAGCCGGCCUGAGAGGGCGAACGGCCACACUGGGACUGAGACACGGCCCAGACUCCUGCGGGAGGCAGCAGUGGGGAAUAUUGCACAAUGGGCGAAAGCCUGAUGCAGCGACGCCGCGUGAGGGAUGACGGCCUUCGGGUUGUAACCUCUUUCAGCAGGGACCAAGCGUGAGUGAGUGUACCUGCAGAGAAGCACCGGCUAACUACGCGCCAGCAGCCGCGGUAA